RNAcentral lists this ribosomal RNA (253 nucleotides) under uncultured bacterium. RNAcentral's name for it is "partial 16S ribosomal RNA". It matches the Rfam family "Bacterial small subunit ribosomal RNA", at positions 524 to 776 of the family's 1533-position model. The record is from RNAcentral.
UACAGAGGUCUCAAGCGUUGUUCGGAUUCAUUGGGCGUAAAGGGUGUGUAGGUGGCGCGCUAAGUCGGGUGUGAAAUUUCGGAGCUUAACUCCGAAACUGCAUUCGAUACUGGCGUGCUUGAGGACUGGAGAGGAGACUGGAAUUCACGGUGUAGCAGUGAAAUGCGUAGAUAUCGUGAGGAAGACCAGUGGCGAAGGCGGUUCUCUGGGACGGUACUGACGCUGAGACGCGAAAGCGUGGGGAGCGAACAGG